UUAACACCUGCACUACUUUGACGUUACCUACAGAAGAAGCACCGGCUAACUCCGUGCCAGCAGCCGCGGUAAUACGGAGGGUGCGAGCGUUAAUCGGAAUUACUGGGCGUAAAGCGCAUGCAGGCGGCCUGUUAAGUCAGAUCGUGAAAGCCCCGGGGCUUAACCUCGGAAUUGCAUUUGAAACUGGCAGGCUAGAGUCUUGUAGAGGGGGUAGAAUUUCAGGUGUAGCGGUGAAAUGCGUAGAGAUCUGAAGGAAUACCAGUGGCGAAGGCGGCCCCCUGGACAAAGACUGACGCUCAGAGUUCGCGUAAAGCGUGGGGAAGCAAACCAGGAUUAGAUACCCUCGGUAG
This 350-nucleotide ribosomal RNA is filed under the name uncultured bacterium. RNAcentral's name for it is "bacterial SSU rRNA". It matches the Rfam family "Bacterial small subunit ribosomal RNA", at positions 453 to 793 of the family's 1533-position model. The record is from RNAcentral.